AUCUAGGGGGAGUUCAAGAAGGGGACAAAAGAUCAAGAAAGUUUCAGGAAACACCCCCUACCCUAAUCUCCUCUUGGGGGUCCCAGGCCAUGUCCUUUAAUGCUUUCAAAAGCCUUAAUGCUUCCUCUCCUGGUUUUUCCCAUAUUGCUUUUCCAUUCUCUGCCCUUUCCCUUUUCCCCAGGCCUCCUUCAGAGUGGGGAGGAGGAUUCCUUCAAUCACAAAAGGCUUGGCUAGAGAGGCCACCAUUGGACUGAUCCUCGUGUUUUCGGUACUCCAAAUGUGCCCUCUUUUUAACACUCCCCUCUCCAUAGUCCUCUCUACAAAAGCACUUUCCUUUCCUCUGCUUCUUAUCGCCUUUUCCCUCACCACUCAGUCCUAACUUCCGCCUCUCCAAACCGCUAAUCCCUGAGUUCCUAAUUUAGCCCUCCGGUCAGCCCUGAAGCUUCUCGGGCUUUCAAGGUUCUAGUUCCCUCUCCCGGACUUCCCCUGUCAUUUGUCUCGAAGCCCCGCCCUCCCUCGCUCUCGUCCGGCUCCACCUCCAGCCACAGAGCUCAUCCUCGAUCCCUUCCGCUCACCCGGACCCCCAGGCUCCGGGAGCCCUCCAAGAAGUGGCCGAAGAGAGGGUUCUUGUAGAAAACGAGAAUUAUAAACCGCCUUUUCUGUAACCUUAGCCACUAAACAUAGCCAAAGUCAGAGGUUACAAAGCGUCGGUUAACGCUUCAAAUAGGAAACGGUGAGAGAACGGAAGACUGUUGACCGAGGCUGAAAACCCAAAGAUGCACCCUUCACCCUUCUUGUUCGAGGUUGUCCCGAAUGGACUAAAUCAAUGAAAAUCACAGCUUUUAUUGAGGAAGCCCUCUCUGCAUAACUGCUCUCUCCUCUCAACCUUUUGGACUUAGAGGUGGUCACAAUAGAGCUAGGAUGAAUAAGAAUCCCAGUCAAAGAGGGAGAGAGAUGGCUUCCAAACAGGAGGCAGGACACCAUGUGUGCCACACAGCAGUAAGUACAUCAGUCCUGCUAAGGGCAGCCACUUAUGAUAUCUGAGAAUGGGAUUACCCAACUCUAAGUGGCCAUUUGAGAAAUCUGUGUCUCAUCAGGUGACCCAGCUGCCUCCCACUCCUUGUGUCUCAAUCUAAACACUGAGUGACCACUGACAUGCUCCAA
This is a long non-coding RNA of Felis catus (domestic cat), 1164 nucleotides long. RefSeq lists it as uncharacterized. The record is from RefSeq and is a predicted model, not a curated record. NCBI's taxonomy places the organism in Eukaryota, Metazoa, Chordata, Mammalia, Carnivora, Felidae. The transcript is spliced from 4 exons.